UAUAACUUAAGUCUUCUACUGCUUCACCUUACAGAAAACCAGCACAGGGAAUUUGCUCCAACAUUCAGGACCAAGAGGAUCAGUUCCAGAAAAAUAGGAACGAAUCAGAGCAGAUAAAUUCAAGUAAGCGGCUCCAGAUGUUUGCCACCUCAGAAACCCAGCAGGAGCCAGCAGACAAGCACGAUGAUGUUAGUGGGACCUAAUUUUAUAGGGGGUCACUCUUUGUGUUUUAUGAUACAAUAACUUUCACUCGGAAACUAAGGAAACAGAUACUGAACACUCAGACGAUGAAAAUCUCCUGUAAUGGCUUUUUCUUGCAUCUGCACGGUGAGUGUGGAAUGAUACAGCUCAUGUCUGAAGAAUCUAAGUUAUCUAUGCCCAAAGGCUGUCCCUUCCCACCACCAGCCCUCUCCAGUCAGAACUCAUCACCCGGGAGCUGCACCACAGAAUACACUUAACUCCUCCACAAAGGAGACAAGCCAAAGUUCCAUCCAGCAGCUGCAUUCAACUCAAAGUUCAUCUUUCUGGGAGAUGUCCAGUUGUCUCUCCAUCAGAUUCAGUUACAUGUGACUUUUCAACCUCUGGAGUCCUGAUUUUACAAAAGACAAAUUAUCUAUUCCCUCUCCACAUAUACUCAUGUGCGCACACACCCACCCACUAAGGCAGUCUGAUAAAGAGGCUUUGUCCGGGGUAGAGCCCACGGUGAGGACGUCUGACCCUCUCUCUUGUCACCCACUUUAUGUGACGGUCGAUGGAAGAGAAUGAGAAGGCAAGGAGAAGCAAAAGUAAGAAUUCCAGAGAGAGGACGCCACUGUGUAAAGACAUGGGGGCCUCACGUGGAACAGCAAUUGUGUGUAUGGAAACUACAAUCAGCUCAGGUUUGACCUAUCCAAAUGUGUCAAGUGUAAAAGUAUAAAGUGGAAGUGACAAGGGGAGAGGCUACGUGGGCUUGCAGAGGCCACUUUUUUAGCAGCAUGGAGCAAAACGGAAGUAGCACUGACCGAUAAGCAAGACUUUAAUUACUAUCUGAUUGUGGCCAGAAGCCCCAAAAGGCUAAAUUUAGUGGAUGUGUUCACUCGAGAGGACUUAUACCCUUCUUAAAGACGAGGCAUCCUCCUUGGCGUGGCUCAGACAUCACCUCCUCCGGGAAACCUUCCCUGGCCUGUCUGGGCCAGAGUGAAGACACUCUGAGUCUUCACGGCAGGGGCACUUGCUCGGCCCACUCCCCCCGCUAUGGGCGCCAUGAGGGCGGAAUUGGUGAUGGGCCUGAAGUUGGUGCUCAACAUUUGUUGAAGAAAGCUUUCCCUUAACCUCAAAACUCUUUCACCUACUACCCAAUGUGUCUCCUUUGCUUUACAACAAGUCUUCUUGAAAAGAGCCAUCCAUACCCACUGUCUCCACAUCUUCUCCUCCCACUUUCCUCCCAUGCUUUCUUGAAACUACUUCAGUAAGCCCCCUCCUCUCCUCCACAAUGAAACUGCUUUUGUCAGGCGACCUCCACCAUGACCUCCACGUUGCCAAAUUCAGUGGGGCUUUAUCAGUGUUUCUCUCAUUCCCAGCAACACACUGGACCACCUCCUCCCCCUUAAACAUCUUCCCUUGGCUUCUGAGACACCUUUCUCUCUUGAUUUUUCUACUGCACUCAGAAGCUCUUCUCAGGUCCCUCCACUGGUUCCUCCUCAUCUCCUUAACCUGUAAAUGUCAGAGUGCCAGCAGCAAAAACCUUGGACUUCUCUAUCCUCCCUCACUUCCUCGCUGACCUUAUCUGGUCCUAUGACUUGAAACACCCCUCUUCAUGCUGGCAGCCCCCUAAUCAAUACCUCUAGCCUCAAACUCUCCCUUGAAUUCCAGACUCCCUUUUCUAACUUCCUACUCCACAUCUUUACUUGGAAGUCUAUGAAGCAUCUCACACUUCACACAUCUGAAACCAGACAACAUGCACCCCCAGAAAUGUUGCUCUUCUUCACCUUCUCCAUCUCAAUAAAUGGCAUUUACAUUUGGCCAGAGGCUUAGGCUAAACAGCCAGCAACAUCCUUGCCUCCUUUCUUUCUCAUGCACCCACAUCUAAUUCAUCAGCAAACUCUGCCAGCUCUCCCUUUGAGAUAUAUCCAGAAUCCAACCACACUUUACCACCUCCACCAAAUCACAGACUCCCGGCUGCCAUCAUCUCUCAGCUAGAUUAUUACAAUCACCUCCUAUUCAGCUCCACCCUUAAUCUUCCCCCCUUAACCACACAUGACGGCCAGAAGGAACAUUUUAAAAUAUAAGAAAGAUCAUGUCACCCGUCUGCUCAAAACCUCCCAAAGGUGCCGUCUCCUCCUCUGUAACCACACUUUCUCUGACUUGCGCCCCUCUGCCCAUUCCAGGUCAGCUGCACUGGCCUCCUGGCUGUUCUUCAAUAUACCAAAGAUGACCCCACCUUAACGCCUCUUACUUUAUCAUUCGUCUGCCAGGAAAGCUCUUCCCCCAAAUAUCCACAGGAUUCGUUCCCUUCCUCCAUCAGGCCUCUGCUUAAAUCUCACGCCUUCAGAGAGGCCUUCCCCAACCUCUGUAAGAAAGCUUCCCCUCCCACCUCUGCCUCCUUUACUUUACUUUGGCCUUCUUUAGAGUGCUCAUCAUAACCUGACAUAUUUGUUUCUUUGUUAAAAAUUGUUUUUCUCUCUCCAUGAGAGUAAGGAUUUUGCUGUUUUGUUCACUCGAAAUCCUCGACAUCUAAAAUCCAAUAAAUGUAUGAAUGAAAGAAUGAAUGGGAGGGGAAAAGUUGGUGUCUUCACACAAGGUAGGAAGACACUAACAUAAGGGUUUCAUUUUAAAAAUGUAAAAGCCGGUUU
Long non-coding RNA from Balaenoptera acutorostrata (minke whale), 2831 nucleotides. RefSeq lists it as uncharacterized. The transcript has 5 exons. Lineage: Eukaryota; Metazoa; Chordata; Mammalia; Artiodactyla; Balaenopteridae. The record is from RefSeq and is a predicted model, not a curated record.